This 819-nucleotide ribosomal RNA is filed under the name Meloidoderita polygoni. RNAcentral describes it as "bacterial SSU rRNA". It matches the Rfam family "Eukaryotic small subunit ribosomal RNA", at positions 43 to 873 of the family's 1831-position model. The record is from RNAcentral. Lineage: Eukaryota; Metazoa; Nematoda; Chromadorea; Rhabditida; Sphaeronematidae.
AUUAAGCCAUGCAUGUGUAUGUUUAAGCGUAUUACGUAAAACUGUGGACGGCUCAUUACAAUAGCUGUAAUUUACUUGAUCUUGAAAAUCCUACACGGAUAACUGAGGUAAUUCUUGAGCUAAUACGUGCACCAAGGCUGCUCGUCUUGUGCGAGUAGUGCAUUUAUUAGAGCAAAACCAAGCGGCUUCGGCCGUUCUUUGCUGACUCAGAAUAACUAAGCUGAUCGCAUGGGCUCGUCCCGGCGACGUGUCUUUCAAGUGUCUACCUUAUCAACUUUCGAUGGUAGUGUCUGUGACUACCAUGGUGAUGACGGGUAACGGAGGAUAAGGGUUCGACUCCGGAGAAGGGGCCUGAGAAAUUGCCACUACUUCUACGGAAGGCAGCAGGCGCGCAAAUUGCCCAAUCUCGACGAGAGGAGGCAGUGACGAGAAAUAACGAGGCUGUUCUCUAUGAGGCCAGCCAUCGGAAUGGGUACAACAUAAACCCUUUAACGAGUAUCAAUGAGAGGGCAAGUCUGGUGCCAGCAGCCGCGGUAACUCCAGCUCUCAUAAUGCAUAGAAUCAUUGCUGCGGUUAAAAAGCUCGUAGUUGGAUCUGUGCUAGGAGUAUGGUGUGCCCGAGAGGGUAUCACUGUAUCAUCCCGGCUUUGGUCGGUCUUUGUGCGUCGGUCCUUCCUUGGUCCGCGUACAUGGCUGGCAUGUUUACUUUGAGCAAAUCGGAGUGCUCAGCACAGGCGUCUUGCCUGAACGAUCGUGCAUGGAAUAAUGGAACAGGAUUUCGGUCCUCUUUUAUUGGUUUUGUGGACUGAGAUAAGAUAAC